GACGUGGGGGGCCAGCGUUGCUCGGAAUUACUGGGUGUAAAGGGUUCGUAGGCGGUGUGGCAAGUCGGAAGUGAAAUCUCCAGGCUUAACUUGGAGGCUGCUUCCGAAACUGCCGUGCUAGAGUGCGGGAGAGGCCAGUGGAAUUGCAGGUGUAGCGGUGAAAUGCGUAGAUAUCUGCAGGAACACCCGUGGCGAAAGCGGCGAGCUGGAUCACAACUGACGCUGAGGCGCGAAAGCUAGGGGAGCAAACAGG
Molecule: ribosomal RNA, 253 nt
Filed under: uncultured bacterium
Lineage: Bacteria
Description: partial 16S ribosomal RNA
Rfam family: Bacterial small subunit ribosomal RNA
Source: RNAcentral